UACGUAGGGGGCAAGCGUUGUCCGGAUUUAUUGGGCGUAAAGAGCGUGUAGGCGGCCAUACAGGUCCGUUGUGAAAACUGGAGGCUUAACCUCCAGACGUCGAUGGAAACCGUAUGGCUAGAGUCCGGAAGAGGAGAGUGGAAUUCCUGGUGUAGCGGUGAAAUGCGCAGAUAUCAGGAAGAACACCCGUGGAGAAGGCGGCUCUCUGGGACGGUACUGACGCUGAGACGCGAAAGCGUGGGGAGCGAACAGG
RNAcentral lists this ribosomal RNA (253 nucleotides) under uncultured bacterium. RNAcentral's name for it is "partial 16S ribosomal RNA". It matches the Rfam family "Bacterial small subunit ribosomal RNA", at positions 524 to 776 of the family's 1533-position model. The record is from RNAcentral.